UACCAGCACCCCGAGUGGUCGGGACGUUUAUUGGGCCUAAGGCAUCCGUAGCCGGUUCUACAAGUCUUCCGUUAAAUCCAGCUGCUUAACAGAUGGGCUGCGGAAGAUACUAUGGAGCUAGGAGGCGGGAGAGGCAAGCGGUACUCGAUGGGUAGGGGUAAAAUCCGUUGAUCCAUUGAAGACCACCAGUGGCGAAGGCGGCUUGCCAGAACGCGCUCGACGGUGAGGGAUGAAAGCUGGGGGAGCAAACCGG
Molecule: ribosomal RNA, 253 nt
Filed under: uncultured bacterium
Lineage: Bacteria
Description: partial 16S ribosomal RNA
Rfam family: Archaeal small subunit ribosomal RNA
Source: RNAcentral